AAGAGAUGUAAGCGGGGGGGGGGGGAUGUUGAUUGCUUUGGCAGUCCUUUGCAAGUUUUCAAGGGAAGGAAAAGAAGAAGCCGACCCUCCUCUCACCCGGGGAACAGCAGGGAUCAAACCGGACUCCAAGAUGCCAGUUGCAACUUUCGCUCCAAGUAGCGCUUGGGAGCCGCCGCUGUUCCUCCGCUUCUCCGGUUGAAGGCCCGGAUCCGAACCACCCUCGGAUGGGAGUAAGCCCCCACUGAAUGAGAUGGGACUUCCUUCGCAGCAAACACUCAGAUGAUUCAAGCGCGUCUCUGAGGGAGCCUCCGCGCGCUGUUUGUGCCGCCUGUGGAUGUCGCUGGCGGCGGGGAGAGCGCGGAAGACGACUCUGGCGUGGCACCAGAAAAGUCAGGCUUGGCUAGCCCACCACCUGGGAGGAAAGGCUGAUGCGUGACAUGCAUAUUUGGUUCCAUCGAAACUAACAAGGCCCCAGUGCCCACAGAGGGAUGGAGGGGGAGAGAGAGAGGCAAGGGCACCCCCACCUCAGCACCCCCACCUCAGCAUCAAGAUACCGACCAGGCAGACCGAGCUGCAAAGGAGGUCUCGGCUGAAAUCUACAAACCGUGGACUUCUGUCUCGGAGGGGAGAAUCUCACGGCCCGGUUGCCCUCCCGUCCGGGAACCCGGCACGACUGGCUCGGCCCCACUGCUGAAAUGGGCAGAGGUGGCAGGUGAUCUCCUGGUCGCAUCACGUUUGUUCGGCUGUGAGGAUCCGGAUCCGGUGGUGGCAAAUUCGACUCGGAAUAAAGCUGCUAGUCCCCGUGAGCAGGCCGGAAGCACCGAGCAGCAGCCAUUCUAGGCAUUUAUCGGGGCGCGGGGGGGGGGGGGGAUUCUCUGAAGGAAACCGAAUGGGAAAGCCACCUACAAGCUGAAAUCUAGUGAAACCAUAAAACCCUUUGCUAAUACUGUUCAUAGUCCUUUAGCACUCGAAAGUGCUGGAUGGGUAGGCCCUUUAAGUCUGAGGAUUUUGGGGUGUCCUCGAUCCCCGCGAAAGUCUGAGAGGCAGGUAGUUUGUUUUUUUUAGUCCAUUGACACAUCACACACACACAACUGUCACAAGGAAGCCACAUCUGGAGAUGCUGCCGACGAAGGAAGGAGAACUUGCCACAGCGCAAGCCUGUCGGGCCAGCAGAGCGCCGUUUUAAGGCACAAAUAAAGGCAUAAAUCACUUGGGUUUAAAGAGGCAGCCAGGCCUCCGAAUAAACCCAGGUACAGUUAAAUAUUUAUAGUUUCAAGGGUUAUUUUGUCUGCUUUCGAGGGAGAACUGGCAACUUUCGUUGGCUUCGGGGAAGGCAGAAGGCUUGGCCUUUGGGGGUGGGGGCGGGCAGGAAGCUUCGGACUUUAUUUUUCUUCUCAAGAUUAUAUCGGAGGAGUGGGGGAAUUUAGCUGAGCAACAAAGAGCCACCCCUUGAAACAAAGGCAUAAUUUCCAUUGCAAAUCCUCCCUCAGCCAGAAAGGGAGCGAGAGCAAACAAUAUUUAUGGGAAUGCGCUCAUAAAAUUAAUGUACCUUACUUUUAAAAAAUCAAAUGCUUCAUACAGGACGCUGCUGCGCAGUGGGGGGGGGGGGGGGUUGGGGAAUCAGACUUCCUGACAGUUUUGUCAACAUCUUAAGUAAAUGGUCCCAGGGAUGGUCUGAGGAGAGGAGAAGCCCCUUGCCUGGAGCAAACACCGCCCAGCAUUUGUCGCAAACCAGUUGAAGAUGAGGAUGGCAAGAGGGGGCUUCAAAACGCGAUCUCCUCUCUCUUUUUUGCCAGUGGACAGAAUGGGUGUGUGACAAGGGGGGGGGGGGGAGAGUAGGAAAGGAGAAGAAAAGAAAACGCCCGGGGAAAAGAAAGAGAGAACAAUUGAGUGGACGCCGGUUUGCACCCCCGGGUGCUAAACAGAUGGGCAAGGCUGUGCCCGGCUCCUGAGUGGGAGCUGGGCAAAGAAUGCGCGGGAACACCAGGCAAGGAGGCGGGCAAGGAAAGGGAGCUUCCAGCGGCCAGGCAAGCAGGCUCGCAGUUCCCCAGCUGUGCCAUCAGGAAAUGAAGAGUCUUGGAUGACACCCAUUUGGGGUUUUGUUUUGCCUUACCAAAAAAACCCCCAACAACCCCGAAUCCGUUCUUUUGGCGUGCUUGUUUCCUUGCACCAAAAUAAUGUAUUUGCAGCACCUGACAAAUAAACAAACGCCGUCUUGUGUGUCGUUAAAAAAACAAAAGCUUCCUCGAAGCAGGAGAUCCCAUCAAAGAAAAUUCUGUUUCACGGUAAAACUGUGGAUAGGGAUAAAGUAAACCUUUCAACGGAUUUGUUUUUCAAAUGCGAUUUUCUUAAGAGACCCAAAAAAGUGUGCUGACCCGAAGAUCCGUUCAAAGUGAAUGCCCACCUUUCGGCCAGUUUAAACGGUGCCCAGCAUCCGGGGCGACUUUGGCUUCGAAUGCUACAAAACCGGCCUCCUGUGUGCGCUUACCUAAGAGUAGGGACUUACAGGAGGGACUUCCGAGUAAACACGCCUCGGAUCGGACUUUGAGAGCGGCUCUUGAACACGCUCCCGCGCCUGAAAGGUCCGCUCCUGCGCGUGGUUUCCUGAGAAGGAGGCGGGCGCCUCUGGACAGGCACUGACCGCCUGGGCAAGGGAGAUGCCGGGAAUGGCCCCGCGCAAAAGCCUCCGAGGCAAAGGACCGAGAUGGAGCAUCUCUGGGAUUUUGCCAGUUAAAAUUGUUGGGGGGCGGGAGGGGCGGGCAGGUAGGCGAGAGGCCGGAUCAAAAGAGCCCAGAGCCCCGGCGCAGGUUGCCUUGGCUGCCUUGGGAGGGGCAUUUCCCACUUUCGGACCGGGGCUGAGGUGAGGGCGGAAUCCCGUCGCCAAAUUCAGACUCGAGGAGGGCCCGGCAGGCAGCGCGAGCCACAGACUAGGCGAGCAGGACUGCGACGGAGCCUCCCCUUCCCAAAGGGGUUGGGGUGGGACCAAGAGUGGGGAAGAGGGAGGAGUAGCAGGCUGCAGCCUGAGCCGCCCUUGGAGGGCAGGCGAAUCCCACCAGAGCAGCACCCCCACCCGCAGUUUGACCCGUCCCAGGCAGGUACCACACACACACACCCCAGCUCCGCCGCCUCUUUCUCGGAGAGAGGAAGCAGUCCAAGGCCGCCCACUCGCCGGGCAUUUCCCGCCUUGGCCGGGGCGCCCACUGGACGCUACCCGCUUCUUGAGGCUCCUUGACAUUCUGCACAUCAAACAGCUGGGAACCCUCCAGUCAUCGGGCACCUUUCGAUGUCUCAACCAUGUCUGUAUGUCCCCUUCAAUCAUGGUACUUCUGCUCCGGUCAUCCCUGAAGCUCUUGAACCGGCUCAACACCUCCCCCCCCCCCCACUAUUAGAUCGACGACCAGCGUGUGCAGGAGACCUUCCAGGUGCAUAAAUUCACCAUCACCUCUGUGCCCUGGCAUGAGCCAUGCGUAGAAAACCAGGCUGUUCCUGAUGGCGUCCUGUUAAAAGGUUUUUCAUCUAAACUGAAGAAUUCGGAGCUUUUACUUUUGAACUCGUGAGCUUGACACUUCUCCCCAGUUUCUGCCUGUUUAAGUUGGCUCCAAACCGAAUACUUCGGCUUCACUGGUUUCAUGGUUGGACUGGAUUAAAUAAUAUCCCUGCCCCGUUUCUGAGUCGAGUGACACACACACACACACACACACACACACACACACACACACACACACACACACACACACACACACACAUGUUCCAGUUGGCACGUGCAAAGGGAAACGCAAGGAGCGCGAGGGAAAAGUGACUUAUCUGAAACUUUUUUUCCCGCUAAGAAAUGGGGCGCCCCUAGGGCGCAAAGCUGCGACUGAAGCCGAAGCCUGUGCUCAUCGCCGGCUUUGCGACCGUAGUCUUGGCCGAGCAGGUUGUCCAAAGCAAUCUGCCCUCCGCAGGGAUUCCCCGAGGGCUCGGUAAGCCCCACUCUGCACAGGAUCGGGUGGCAUCUCGCCUGGGAAGCCGCAUAAAAGGCUUUUACCAAGCCAGUAAAGAAGCGCUCUCCACUCCCGAAUGACAGUGAAACAUCUGGGCGCCUCUUCAGCAGACCAGGGGCAGGUUUCCACUCGCCUCUCCGCCCGAGCCUCGGCUGCGCUUCUCCAUUAUCUAGCCUAAGAGGGAAGCAAAAGCCCCCAGUAGAAAGCGGGGCGCGGGGGCGCGGGGGAAGCGGGGAGCUGUUGUCCGGAAAAAUCAAGUGGCGGGUCGCGAGCGGCGCUACUGUAAGCGCGGGAACUCCUAGGCGCGCGCCGGCCGGAGCGGCUGCUGAAGGAGGGCAAGAGCCAGCAGACACGCCGCUUUCCUCCAGGCGGGAAGGGCCUGCUGAACGCCCCCUGCUCCAGUCUCUGAGCAAGGAAACCAGGCCAGAGCAUCUCUGUGGAUGCCAGAGCAUCCCAACCAGUCGAGCUACCUGGAGGGGAGAAGGUGGCACCCGCCCGCCCACCGGCCCUUUAUUCCCCAGCCUGACGGCCGGGAUGCCUGACAGCCGGGCCUGGGUCAUAGUUCCAGCAUCAGGCAGCCCAGCCCAGCCCAGCCCAGCCCAGCCCAGCCGCGAGGUCAGGAUGGAAACAGGCUUUGGGCUCGUUUGCCCACCUUGAAGAGACCAACCUGCCCCCCCCCCCUCCAAAGCAGAGUGGAGGUCUCCUUCUGACCGGGGCUGUGAAGAAAGCCCUGAUCUCCCUCGAUGGAGUCGGGGAGUGUCCAUACACCUGGACUCAGUCACCUGGGCUCAAGGAUCGGGGCCUGCAUUUGCUUGCUGCGCUUUUGAGGAUUCUGUUGGGCAAAGCCAACCUCUUCUGCCUGUAACUGACUGCUUAAACCCUCAGGGGAUAAU
This is a long non-coding RNA of Sphaerodactylus townsendi, 4876 nucleotides long. RefSeq lists it as uncharacterized. The transcript is spliced from 3 exons. Lineage: Eukaryota; Metazoa; Chordata; Lepidosauria; Squamata; Sphaerodactylidae. The record is from RefSeq and is a predicted model, not a curated record.